CUACGGGGGGCAGCAGGCGAGAAAACUUUGCAAUGUGCGAAAGCACGACAAGGUUAAUCCGAGUGGUUUCUGCUAAAGGAACCUUUUGUCGGUCCUAGAAACACCGAUGAAUAAGGGGUGGGCAAGUUCUGGUGUCAGCCGCCGCGGUAAAACCAGCACCUCAAGUGGUCAGGAUGAUUAUUGGGCCUAAAGCAUCCGUAGCCGGCUCUGUAAGUUUUCGGUUAAAUCUGUAUGCUCAACAUACAGGCUGCCGGGAAUACUGCAUAGCUAGGGAGUGGGAGAGGUAGACGGUACUCGGUAGGAAGGGGUAAAAUCCUUUGAUCUAUUGAUGACCACCUGUGGCGAAGGCGGUCUACCAGAACACGUCCGACGGUGAGGGAUGAAAGCUGGGGGAGCAAACCGGAUUAGAUACCCGUGUAGUC
Molecule: ribosomal RNA, 422 nt
Filed under: uncultured archaeon
Lineage: Archaea
Description: partial 16S ribosomal RNA
Rfam family: Archaeal small subunit ribosomal RNA
Source: RNAcentral